CAUAUAUAUAUACACACACACACACACACACACACACACACACACACAUAUAUAUAUAUAUAUGUAUACAUGCAUGUAUAUGUUUAUGUAUUUGUACGUAUCAUAUAUGUAUAUAUAUAUAUAUAUAUAUUAUAAAAUGGAGCAACCGCAUUGGGUUGUCUUCGGUUGACACGUGGAUAAAAAUUAUUUUGUCAUGUGGAGUGAAACCGCGUGGAGUGGGACCGUGGG
RNAcentral lists this long non-coding RNA (228 nucleotides) under Elaeis guineensis (African oil palm). RNAcentral's name for it is "long non-coding RNA (EGUI_LNC078566)". The record is from RNAcentral. Lineage: Eukaryota; Viridiplantae; Streptophyta; Magnoliopsida; Arecales; Arecaceae.